Molecule: ribosomal RNA, 247 nt
Filed under: uncultured Gardnerella sp.
Lineage: Bacteria; Bacillati; Actinomycetota; Actinomycetes; Bifidobacteriales; Bifidobacteriaceae
Description: partial 16S ribosomal RNA
Rfam family: Bacterial small subunit ribosomal RNA
Source: RNAcentral
GAGUAAUGCGUGACCAACCUGCCCCAUGCUCCAGAAUAGCUCUUGGAAACGGGUGGUAAUGCUGGAUGCUCCAACUUGACGCAUGUCUUGUUGGGAAAGUGUUUAGUAGCAUGGGAUGGGGUCGCGUCCUAUCAGCUUGUAGGCGGGGUAAUGGCCCACCUAGGCUUCGACGGGUAGCCGGCCUGAGAGGGCGGACGGCCACAUUGGGACUGAGAUACGGCCCAGACUCCUACGGGAGGCAGCAGCA